GGGAGCUCAGGAUCCUGGGCUGUGUCCCCUGGCGCCCUGGGAUCCAGGGCCUGUGCUGCUGGAAUUGCACUCCCGGGUGCGACUCCU
RNAcentral lists this microRNA precursor (87 nucleotides) under Canis lupus dingo (dingo). RNAcentral's name for it is "mir-8799 microRNA precursor family". It matches the Rfam family "mir-8799 microRNA precursor family". The record is from Rfam by way of RNAcentral. Lineage: Eukaryota; Metazoa; Chordata; Mammalia; Carnivora; Canidae.